RNAcentral lists this ribosomal RNA (465 nucleotides) under uncultured Klebsiella sp. RNAcentral's name for it is "bacterial SSU rRNA". It matches the Rfam family "Bacterial small subunit ribosomal RNA", at positions 338 to 795 of the family's 1533-position model. Lineage: Bacteria; Pseudomonadati; Pseudomonadota; Gammaproteobacteria; Enterobacterales; Enterobacteriaceae. The record is from RNAcentral.
CCUACGGGUGGCAGCAGUGGGGAAUAUUGCACAAUGGGCGCAAGCCUGAUGCAGCCAUGCCGCGUGUGUGAAGAAGGCCUUCGGGUUGUAAAGCACUUUCAGCGGGGAGGAAGGCGGUGAGGUUAAUAACCUCAUCGAUUGACGUUACCCGCAGAAGAAGCACCGGCUAACUCCGUGCCAGCAGCCGCGGUAAUACGGAGGGUGCAAGCGUUAAUCGGAAUUACUGGGCGUAAAGCGCACGCAGGCGGUCUGUCAAGUCGGAUGUGAAAUCCCCGGGUUCAACCUGGGAACUGCAUUCGAAACUGGCAGGCUAGAGUCUUGUAGAGGGGGGUAGAAUUCCAGGUGUAGCGGUGAAAUGCGUAGAGAUCUGGAGGAAUACCGGUGGCGAAGGCGGCCCCCUGGACAAAGACUGACGCUCAGGUGCGAAAGCGUGGGGAGCAAACAGGAUUAGAUACCCUAGUAGUC